Molecule: long non-coding RNA, 230 nt
Organism: Aethina tumida (small hive beetle)
Lineage: Eukaryota; Metazoa; Arthropoda; Insecta; Coleoptera; Nitidulidae
Exons: 3
Source: RefSeq, a predicted model, not a curated record
UUGAACAUGAAAUCCAGUUUCAGAAAUUUAUAUCAAUUGCAAAAAAUAAUUGACGAUUAUUGACAAUUGUUGAACACCGACGAAUCUUUGGAGACUGUAAUCCAGUUUGUAGAAAUUUUUAUCAAAUGGAGAAAAUAAUAGACUGUGUCAACUUAUGAACGCCUUCGGUGACUGUCAUUCAAUUUGUAGAAAUUUAUAUAAACUAGGAAAAAUAAUUGAUGAUUUUUGGU